This 524-nucleotide ribosomal RNA is filed under the name uncultured bacterium. RNAcentral describes it as "bacterial SSU rRNA". It matches the Rfam family "Bacterial small subunit ribosomal RNA", at positions 355 to 880 of the family's 1533-position model. The record is from RNAcentral.
UGAGGAAUAUUGGGCAAUGCUCGCAAGAGUGACCCCAGCCAUGCCGCGUGCAGGAAGACGGUCCUAUGGAUUGUAAACUGCUUUUAUACGGGAAGAAACCCUCCUUCGUGAAGGAGCUUGACGGUACCGUAUGAAUAAGCAUCGGCUAACUCCGUGCCAGCAGCCGCGGUAAUACGGAGGAUGCAAGCGUUAUCCGGAAUCAUUGGGUUUAAAGGGUCCGUAGGCGGCCUGAUAAGUCAGUGGUGAAAUCUCCUAGCUCAACUAGGAAACUGCCAUUGAUACUGUCGGGCUUGAAUUGUGGUGAAGUAACUAGAAUAUGUAGUGUAGCGGUGAAAUGCUUAGAUAUUACAUGGAAUACCAAUUGCGAAGGCAGGUUACUAACCAUUGAUUGACGCUGAUGGACGAAAGCGUGGGGAGCGAACAGGAUUAGAUACCCUGGUAGUCCACGCCGUAAACGAUGGAUACUAGCUGUUGGGAGUAAUCUCAGUGGCUAAGCGAAAGUGAUAAGUAUCCCACCUGGGAGA